GACGAACGCUGGCGGCGUGCUUAACACAUGCAAGUCGAACGGAAAGGCCCUGCUUUUGUGGGGUGCUCGAGUGGCGAACGGGUGAGUAACACGUGAGUAACCUGCCCUUGACUUUGGGAUAACUUCAGGAAACUGGGGCUAAUACCGGAUAGGAGCUCCUGCUGAAUGGUGGGGGUUGGAAAGUUUCGGCGGUUGGGGAUGGACUCGCGGCUUAUCAGCUUGUUGGUGGGGUAGUGGCUUACCAAGGCUUUGACGGGUAGCCGGCCUGAGAGGGUGACCGGCCACAUUGGGACUGAGAUACGGCCCAGACUCCUACGGGAGGCAGCAGUGGGGAAUAUUGCACAAUGGGCGGAAGCCUGAUGCAGCAACGCCGCGUGCGGGAUGACGGCCUUCGGGUUGUAAACCGCUUUCGCCUGUGACGAAGCGUGAGUGACGGUAAUGGGUAAAGAAGCACCGGCUAACUACGUC
RNAcentral lists this ribosomal RNA (468 nucleotides) under uncultured bacterium. Its description in RNAcentral is "partial 16S ribosomal RNA". It matches the Rfam family "Bacterial small subunit ribosomal RNA", at positions 28 to 507 of the family's 1533-position model. The record is from RNAcentral.